Long non-coding RNA from Podarcis muralis (Common wall lizard), 3017 nucleotides. NCBI's taxonomy places the organism in Eukaryota, Metazoa, Chordata, Lepidosauria, Squamata, Lacertidae. The record is from Ensembl.
AUGCAUGCAAAGCAGGCACUCUCCUACUGCUCCACAGCCCUUUCCCGCAAAAGAUCCCUGUUUCUGAGGCAGACUCAGAGGCUCCCUUUACAUAACCGCCUCACCACCUGGCAGCUCCGCACACCUUCGCCAGGAGGAUGCGAGAAGUGGAGCGCGGUGGGGGUGGGCUUAUCCACACCCAGCGCCCUCAACGCCCCCCCCCCGCGCGCGCGGACUCGAGAGACAGUUUCUUCUGCCACGAGGAAGGAGAGGCGUGAGCUCCUGUCCCUUCCAGGAAGAAAGGUGAAGCAACCGCUUCAGGUGGCAGGAUCCACAGUGGAAGCAACCCCCACCCCCACGCGCUUCCUGAUGUACAUCUUCACUCAUCCCUCCUUCUAUGGCAGCAAGGCGUGGGGUGCCAUUUUGUGGUUCACCUCAGCCACCAAAAUGUUUUGGGCCGGCCUGGAUUAAAUCUAUAAUAUUGCAAAAGCCUCCUUGUUGGACGAGCUUUUUCUCAAGCCGGCUUGCAUCUGAUUUGAAAACCUAAGCCAUGUGCAUCUGAGACAGCUGUUGCACAUGCACAGAUGGUUGCUUCGUUGGAGUUUGGGGCAGAGGGGUGUUGUAGGUGAAAGGUGGGAAAUGGAGUAAUGCACAUCAGGUGAGGACAUCUCUGCCCCUUUGGUGUGUGCAGCAACUUCUGAAUGCAACAUCAAACACAGCAGGGAGGAAAUAGCUUAGCUGCAUUUUAAGCCAUGCAUAUGUACAUAGCCCUAAAACACAUCUUGUGCCUCCACCCCUGGCCACCUUUGCACCUGCCGCUGGUUGGUGGAUCAUUCAAUCAAUAAAUAAAAUAGGUUUUAAUGAUAAAAUAGACCCUGUAAGCAUGACUGUAGUCAGGUUUUAUGUUGGGGUGGACAGAACCUCAGCUAAAUAUUUUUAUUGAUUUAGGGGGGGCAGCUAUGCCAAUGCUUGUAGGUAGGGCUGCCCUGCUCCUCCGGGUCUAAUUAACACAUAGGUGCUUUCAGCAUUCUAGCCAUGCUUGCCUUCAUAGGCAUUGUUAUGAGAUGGCCCAGGAGACAGCCCCAGGUCUUUGUCACCUAGGGUCUUGGGCCCUGGAUCUCCUGUUCUGUUCCCUACUUUUUUCUACAUGUAAAACCAACUUGAUUUGCUAUCAUGCUAUUUAAUGUUGGUGAGCAGUAAAUGGAUCAAGGUCUACAAGCAGAUCAGGGGUGAUAUGUGGCAAGAGUUUCUUACUCUCAAUGGUUUAACAAUGCAGCAAAAACCAAUUCUCUUGACUGCUGAAAUAAAGCAAGCUUUGGAGACAAAACCAGGCAUGGACUUUUGUGUGGAGUUCAGGUUCUCAAAAUAAAUUCAUGGGUUAAGCAUGCAGUCAGAAGCAUCCUGUACCUUUAAGUGUGUGUUAUCCCACCCCACCCACUAUUUUGCACCUGGUUGAAGUUGGUGGACUUCCAGGGUUUAGUAAAAACCACAGUAGAUCCUAGAAGCCUGAAAUCUGCCUGCCCAGCUAGUUGCCAAAAAUAGGAUAGCUAAAAAAAAUGUUGGGCAAGAGUUUCUGCAACAUUCCUGUAUGUAGAGGAAGCCCAGUGCUAAUGAGGGGAUUUGUGGGCUCUAGAACAAACAUGCCAGUUCCCAAUUCAGGGUGAAAUCCUUAUUAAAUUAAUGCUUAUUAAAUAAACCAUGCUCCCCACCCUACACACAGCCUGGGUCCUUGUCACAAUUACCACAUUUGCACAUAACACUAAGACAUACCAUAGCAAAUGCACAGACUUCCAAAGAGAAAAUUGUAGCUGCUUUGCUUCUUGCUGGUCCUUUUAGCUCAGCAUGGUGCAACACCUAAGCCAAGUGUCAUUUGAACCCAGCAUCUUGUUUCAGCUCUCUCCUCCUUAACCACAGUCUGCAGCCUGGGUUUGUUCCCAUGCCUGUGGAAUGAAACAGAUGUACCAGGGAGAACUGUUCCCUUUUCCUGUCCAGCUAUGAACAUUCUAAAAUAUUCCAAAGAUUCUGUGUGCUGUCUUCUGGCAGCCUAAUUGCAAUACACCAAGGGAAAUAUGUUUGAUGCUUUAAAUCGGCCCUGUGCCUUUAGGGAUAAGACAGCUUAAAAUAUAAUAAUGUGUCAAACCCAUUGAAAAGGGCUUUUUUCUUACAGAAGAGAUGAAAAUGUGUCUCUCGUAUGAGGUAGGAGCAAACUCUUUUAUUAUACAGUGGUACCUUGGGUUAAGAACUUAAUUCGUUCUGGAGGUCUGUUCUUAACCUGAAACUGUUCUUAACCUGAGGUACCACUUCAGCUAAUGGGGCCUCCCGCUGCCACCGCGUGAUUUCUGUUCUCAUCCUGAAGCAAAGUUCUUAACCCAAGGUACUAUUUCUGGGUUAGUGGAGUCUAACCUGAAGCGUAUGUAACCCGAGGUACCACUGUACAUUCCCAACUGAUCAAGGGUGGUAGUCAACUAAGCUUUACUCAGAGUAGACCCACUGGAAUUAAUGAAUGUAACUAACUUUAGUCCAGUAAUUUCAGUGACUAUACCUUUGUUGAACACAACUGUGGGAAGAAGACUAGUAGGACUGCUUUUGUGUUAACAGCAACUUAACUUUCAAAAGCCACCAGAUCAAACUUCCAUAGGACAACACUGAGUAUUGCCCAGAAGUUAAUAAUGCAGAUUAAGCUGCAGUUGAACACACAGGGCCAGAGGCAUGCCAUUUUAGUGUCAACCACACAACGUUUGAGGAGGGGAAUUUUUCUGACUUUCUCCUUAAGCCCACUAGCAGUGCAGUUUCAUUCUGUAGCUUAAUUUUUUAGAAAGUAGUAGAAUUGUGGAACCAUAGAAUUGUAGAGCUGAAAGAGGCCUCAGGAGUCACCUAGUCCGUAGCGCAAUAAUCUUUUCCUCAACGUGGGGCUCAAACCCACAAGCCUGAGAUGAUCUGCUGAUGGAGCUAUCCCAGAAGGGUAGAUCUCAGUGAUGCAUAGUAGAUUACUCAAUGUGUAUAUAGAUGUAAAAAAGAAAAGAAAAAGGUAUUCCCAA